GUAUCCGCUUUGGCAACACAUAUACUAAAAUUGGAAUGAUACAGAGAAGUUAGCAUGGCCCCUGAGCAAGGAUGACACGUAAAUUCAUGAAACAUUCCAUAUUUUU
Dipodomys ordii (Ord's kangaroo rat) is the source of this 106-nucleotide small nuclear RNA. The record is from Ensembl. Lineage: Eukaryota; Metazoa; Chordata; Mammalia; Rodentia; Heteromyidae.